RNAcentral lists this ribosomal RNA (250 nucleotides) under uncultured bacterium. RNAcentral describes it as "partial 16S ribosomal RNA". It matches the Rfam family "Bacterial small subunit ribosomal RNA", at positions 355 to 622 of the family's 1533-position model. The record is from RNAcentral.
UGGGGAAUAUUGCACAAUGGACGAAAGUCUGAUGCAGCAACGCCGCGUGCGGGAUGAAGGCCUUCGGGUUGUAAACCGCUUUCACCAGGGACGAAUGUGACGGUACCUGGAGAAGAAGCACCGGCUAACUACGUGCCAGCAGCCGCGGUGAUACGUAGGGUGCGAGCGUUGUCCGGAUUUAUUGGGCGUAAAGAGCUCGUAGGCGGUUUGUUGCGUCGGAAGUGAAAACUUGGGGCUUAACUCCAAGCUU